AUUGCCUCAGUAACGGCGAGUGAAGCGGCAACAGCUCAAAUUUGAAAUCUGGCCCCAGGCCCGAGUUGUAAUUUGUAGAGGAUGCUUUUGGUGCGGUACUUUCCGAGUUUCCCUGGAACGGGACGCCUUAGAGGGUGAGAGCCCCGUACGGUUGGAUACCUAGCCUCUGUAAAGCUCCUUCGACGAGUCGAGUAGUUUGGGAAUGCUGCUCAAAAUGGGAGGUAAAUUUCUUCUAAAGCUAAAUACCGGCCAGAGACCGAUAGCGCACAAGUAGAGUGAUCGAAAGAUGAAAAGCACUUUGAAAAGAGGGUUAAAUAGCACGUGAAAUUGUUGAAAGGGAAGGACUUAUGACCAGACUUUUUCUAGGCGGAUCAUCCGGUGUUCUCACCGGUGCACUUCGCCUAGUUAAGGCCAGCAUCGGUUUCCGUAGAGGGAUAAAAGCAGUAGGAAUGUGGCUCCCUCGGGAGUGUUAUAACCUAUUGUAUAAUACCUUUAUGGGGACCGAGGUUCGCGCUUCGGCAAGGAUGCUGGCAUAAUGGUCAUCAGUCACCCGUCUUGAAACACGGACCAAGGAGUCGAACAUUUAUGCGAGUGUUUGGGUGUUAAACCCUCACGCGUAAUGAAAGUGAACGGAGGUGAGAGCCUUAGGGUGCAUCAUCGACCGAUCCUGAAGUCUUCGGAUGGAUUUGAGUAAGAGCAUAACUGUUCGGACCCGAAAGAUGGUGAACUAUGCGUGGAUAGGGUGAAGCCAGAGGAAACUCUGGUGGAGGCUCGCAGCGGUUCUGACGUGCAAAUCGAUCGUCAAAUCUGCGCAUGGGGGCGAAAGACUAAU
This 832-nucleotide ribosomal RNA is filed under the name Cylindrium elongatum. RNAcentral's name for it is "eukaryotic LSU rRNA". It matches the Rfam family "Eukaryotic large subunit ribosomal RNA", at positions 74 to 935 of the family's 3401-position model. The record is from RNAcentral. Lineage: Eukaryota; Fungi; Ascomycota; Sordariomycetes; Hypocreales; Cylindriaceae.